CUUUUUAGGGCCACACAUGCAGCACAUGGAGGUUCCCAGGUCUAAUCAGAGCCACAGCUGCCAGCCUAUACCACAGCCACAGCAACGCCAGAUCCUUAACCCACUGAGCUAGUCCAGGGAUCAAACCUUUGUCCUCAUGGAUGCUAGUCAGGUUCGUUUCUGCUGAGUGAUGAUGGGAACGCCCAAGACUAUCAUUUCUGAUGCCAGAAGACAGUGGUGAGGCUAGAUGGGGAGAGGGGCCCUUGGUCACUCUUUUCCCAGUUGUCCUACAGAUCAUUAGAGACUUGGCUGUCCCCAAUUUCAGGAAGGGAGAGCUGAAUCCGGAAGCUGAGGGUGGGGGUGGUAAGGAAUAUUGGCAGACAGCGGGAGAGGUGUGACUAGGGAGAGGUCAGUCAGGGGAAAAGAGAGCUUGAACUAAGAACUGAAUCCAAGAGUCAAACAGCCUUUGACCUUGAGAUCUCCUUGGAUCAGAAUGAAUGAGCCAUACACCACAGAUUCUUGGGUGCAGGCAGUGUGGUAUGGUUGAAAAAGCACUGGACUUGGGGAUUCGGGGGCUGCAUUUGAAUUCUAAGGCUGCCCCUUGAGAACUGCAUGAUCUUGGGCAAAUAAUGUUUCUGAACCUCAGUUUCCUCUUCAGUACUAUUCGCACAGGCUUUGGACUCAGACUCUGCCCUUAAUCUUGCAUGACACUAUUACUUAACCUCUGAGCCUCAGAUGCCUCAUCUGUUUUUGUUGUCAUUGUUGUUUUAGGGCCACACCUGGAGCAUAGGGAAGUUCCCAGGUGAGGGGUAGAAUUGGAGCUGCAGCUACUGCUCUAUGACCUAUGCUGCAGCUUGUGGCAAUGCCGGAUCCUUAACCCACUGAGUGAGGCCAGGGAUCAAACCUGUAUCCUUGUGGACACUUGUAGGGUUGGUAACCCAAUUAGCCACAAUGGGAACCCCCAUCUCAUCUAUAAAAACAGGGGCAACCUCCCACUCCUGGGCAUCUAUCCAGAGAAAACCAUGACUCGCAAAGACACAUGUAGUCCGAUGUUCAUUGCAGCACUAUUUGCAAUAGCAAAAACAUGGGAACAACCUAAAUGUCCAUUGAGAAAGGAGUGGAUCAAGAAGAUGUGGUACAUAUACCCAAUGGAAUAUUGCUCAGCCAUUAAAAUGAACAAAAUACCAGCAUUCUGAGCAAUAUGGAUGGACCUAGAAAUUACCAUGCUAAGUGAAGUCAGCCAUACAAUGAGACACCAACAUCCAAUGCUUUCACUGACAUCUGGAACCUGAAAAAAGGACAGACUGAACUUCUUUGCAGAACAGAUGCUGACUCACAGACAUUGAAAAACUUAUGGUCUCUGGAGGAGACAGUUUGGGGGGUGGUGGGAUGUGCUUGGGUUGUGGGAUGAAAAUCCUGUGAAAUUAGAUUGUGAUGAUCAUUAUACAACUACAGAUGUGAUACAUUCAUUUGAGUAAUAAAAACAAAACAAAACAAAACAAAAACCAAGGGCAACCUUUGGAGUACUAAUAAGAUAAUUGAUGGAAGUUGAUUUUAUGUAUAACAGAAAACCAGGGAAUAACAAUAAAUUUGGGGCGGGUGACAUGGGUUUGAAUUUGCCCCCGGCUAGAUAUGUAACCUGUCUAAGAAGCAACUCCUCCUCUCUAAGAGGAGCACUGCCUUCUCACGGGGUUCUUGUGGGGCUCCCACGAGAUAAGGUGUGGAGGCACAUGUACAGUUCUGUACAAAUGUGAAGAGUCCCUUUUGUUCUUUGGCUCACCCUCUUGCAAAGGCUGAAUAAGUACUGAAUUGGCCAAAAGAGGGAGGGUGAGGGAAGGAAUGUGAAUCUUAGGGGGAGAAUCAGAAAACCUCCAAUAAUCCCUUGUGUUUCUCACACUUCCCAUUAGGCCUGAGCUCCUAAGGAAUGGCUCACAACCAUAGUGGGCAGGGGACAUGGGAACGGAAACAGGGCCCACUGCUGGGAGGGAGCAAAGCCCAGGGAGCCCUUGGGAGGAGCCCAAGGACAGAGGUUUUCUUCUCCAGGCUCCAACCUCCAGAACCAGGAGGUCUGGGGGUUCCUCCAAAGCUUCCUGUCUCAGCUGCACCCCUCAGUGACCAGCUGAUGCUGCAUGGAUCCUUUUAUUUGAUCAAUUGUUGUGGUAAUUACGGUGGUAUCUUAGUUUGACUAAGUCCUGCCCAGGUAUAGAAUAAACUGGCAGGUAAAGGGAGGGAUGCAGGGGCAGGAGAGGAGAGAUGAUGAGCCAGCUUCAUGAACAAUCCAAAAAAGGGAGUUCCCGUCAUGGCACAGCAGAAAUGAAUCUGACUAGGAACCAUGAGAUUGCAGGUUCAAUCCCUGGCCUCGUUCAGUGGGUUGAGGACCCAGUGUUGCUAUGAGCUGUGGUGUAGGUCACAGACAUGGCUUGGAUCUGGCGUUGCUGUGGCUGUGGCGUAGGCUGGCAGCUGUAGCUCCGAUUCGACCCCUAGCCUGGGAACCUCCAUAUGCCGUGGAUGCAGCCCUUAAAAAAAAAAUCCAAAAAAGGAGGGAAGAGAAAGGAAAGAAAGUCACACCAAGAAGCAGUGUAUAAGCCAUGGAGAAGGCAGCCCAAUAAGUGUGCCCUAAAUAAAAUACUCGUAGAAGGUAAAACUUGGUUGGUAUUUUUCAAAUCUGCAUUUACUAAAUCAGGCCUUGAUGAGAGGAAGACAGACAAACCGGCUAUCUUCUAACUUAUGGACAAGAAGGCAGUAAAUGCCCAUCUGCUGAAGGAUGGCACUGUCGGCAGGAAGGGCGAAGGUGGGUUCCUGGUGGCCUUCACUUCUCCCUGGCCUUGUUCGUGGGUGAAUUUAGGGAUGAUCAAGGCAGGUGGGCAAGGCCCUUAUACGGUGGUUUUGACCAGAAGCUUCAUCAACACCGGCUUUCCCCUUGGGUUAGUCCUGGCCCAGCAUCAGGCACCCCUAAACCAGCGGGCUCCCUGACCUCACAGUUCAUGCAGGUGAGGAACUGGCUUGGGGUCUGUGUCAGCAUUCUGGAUAAACUCGAAAAUGAACUUCACUUGCCUCUCGUAGGCUUGAACUGAGAUUCUCUCAUUGAUUCCAUGCACGCUGAGGGAGGAGAGUCCAUUGCUAUAGUACAGGUGUUAUUACAGAGCGCCUCCCCACCACCGCCCCAAUCCCUGAAGCCACUGUCCUUUGACCCUCCAGGGGUAGCAUGUGGGCAAGCUGGGAGUGGCUGUUUGUAAGAAGUGAGGUUUCACACGACCUGCUUGGUCAUCUGUCCCAGCAUCCAUGCCCAUGGCAAAGAACAGUAGGGGAGGAUAAUAAUAAACUUGUAGUUCAAGAUCACCGCUUACUCUGGAAUCCAUUAGAUCAUUUCAACAUUAUCUUUGUAAUUCUAAGGCCAGAGUCCCAGCUAGACUUGUCUCUAAGCCAGCUGCCUCCCCCUCAUCAUUAGGGGCACAGGUGGUUAGGGAGAGCAUCUGCCCAGAGUACUACAGGGUUCUCUACUUCACCUAGGAACUCCACCACCAGGUCCACAACCUCUUCCACAAAACACAACACAACACCAAACCAUACAUGUAACCUCAAAGAUGAAAGGAAAUAAAAAAUAGCUCCCUUUCCCCUGUCCCCUCAACCCCAUUAAAAAACAAACAAAAAACUGUGAAAUCUGUUCUUCUUUUUCUUUUUUGGCCUUUUUUUUUUUUUUUUGUCUUUUUUGCCAUUUCUUGGGCCGCUCCUGUGGCAUAUGGAGGUUCCCAGGCUAGGGGUCGAAUUGGAGCUAUAGCCGCCGGCCUACGCCACAGCCACAGCAACGCCGGAUCUGAGCUGCGUCUGUAACCUACACCACAGCUCAUGGCAACGCCAGAUCCUUAACCCACUGAGCAGGGCCAGGAAUCGAACCCGCAACCUCAUGGUUCCUAGUCAGAUUCGUUAACCACUGAGCCACGAUGGGAACUCCUCUUUUUUGGCUUUUUAAAGGGCCACACCCAUGGCAUAUGGAAGCUCCCGGGCUAUGGGUUGAAUCAGAGCUACAACUGCCAGCCUACACCACAGCCACAACAACUUGGAAUCCAAGCCUUGUCUGUGACCUAUGCCACAGCUCAUGGCAUCACCAGAUCAUUAAUCCACUGAGAAAGACCAGGGACUGAAGCCGCAUUGUCAUGGGUUCUAGUCAGAGUCACUUCUGCUGUGCCACAACGGGAACUCCUAAAAUCUGUUCUUAAGCUCAUAUUCAAAUUGUUUUGUUGGCAACCGACUUACGACGAGGAAAUCAGAGCUGGAUGUGGUAAGGAGCAGAGAGGAAAUGGACAUCAUCCCCUCAUAUCCUGGGACUAAAAAUCUGCUGAAGAACCCACAAAGAGUAAUUCACACACAGCAGUUGAAAUGUGAGCAUGUCUUAGAUUCCUACAGUAUGUUUGCUUUUGAGAAUUCAAAGCAUGGACCCACCUUUGACCUCAAAUGUGUCUGUAUUUCACCGGUAACUGCCAACUGUGGAAUCUCCCGUUUUUGGGGAGAAAAUGAGAUCAGAGGGGAUGUACUCUCUCAAAGGGAGGAAGGGGUGGGGACAGCACCCAUGGCUUCUGAUUCUACCAGGUUCCUUUCAAUCAUCUGAUGGACUCUAUCUCUGAAAAACAGUCACCAAUUCCCACAAGUUUCGGGGAGUGGUGAGAUUGUGGAACUGAGGAAUGUUGGCCAGUUGGGUUCUACAGUGUCUUUUAGUUUGUGCAAACCCUGGCUUUCACCCAUGCUGUGGACUGUCAAGAGAACAGGGGCGUGGAAGGGACAGGUC
Molecule: long non-coding RNA, 4762 nt
Filed under: Sus scrofa (pig)
Lineage: Eukaryota; Metazoa; Chordata; Mammalia; Artiodactyla; Suidae
Description: lncRNA (ENSSSCG00040037827.1)
Source: RNAcentral